This 468-nucleotide ribosomal RNA is filed under the name uncultured bacterium. Its description in RNAcentral is "partial 16S ribosomal RNA". It matches the Rfam family "Bacterial small subunit ribosomal RNA", at positions 28 to 507 of the family's 1533-position model. The record is from RNAcentral.
GACGAACGCUGGCGGCGUGCUUAACACAUGCAAGUCGAACGGAAAGGCCCUGCUUUUGUGGGGUGCUCGAGUGGCGAACGGGUGAGUAACACGUGAGUAACCUGCCCUUGACUUUGGGAUAACUUCAGGAAACUGGGGCUAAUACCGGAUAGGAGCUCCUGCUGCAUGGUGGGGGUUGGAAAGUUUCGGCGGUUGGGGAUGGACUCGCGGCUUAUCAGCUUGUUGGUGGGGUAGUGGCUUACCAAGGCUUUAACGGGUAGCCGGCCUGAGAGGGUGACCGGCCACAUUGAGACUGAGAUACGGCCCAGACUCCUACGGGAGGCAGCAGUGGGGAAUAUUGCACAAUGGGCGGAAGCCUGAUGCAGCAACGCCGCGUGCGGGAUGACGGCCUUCGGGUUGUAAACCGCUUUCGCCUGUGACGAAGCGUGAGUGACGGUAAUGGGUAAAGAAGCACCGGCUAACUACGUG